Molecule: ribosomal RNA, 253 nt
Filed under: uncultured bacterium
Lineage: Bacteria
Description: partial 16S ribosomal RNA
Rfam family: Bacterial small subunit ribosomal RNA
Source: RNAcentral
UACGGAGGGAGCUAGCGUUGUUCGGAAUUACUGGGCGUAAAGCGCACGUAGGCGGCUUUGUAAGUUAGAGGUGAAAGCCCGAGGCUCAACCUCGGAACUGCCUUCGAUACUGCGGGUCUCGAGUCCGGGAGAGGUGAGUGGAAUUCCUAGUGUAGAGGUGAAAUUCGUAGAUAUUAGGAAGAACACCAGUGGCGAAGGCGGCUCACUGGCCCGGUACUGACGCUGAGGCGCGAAAGCGUGGGGAGCAAACAGG